This 1000-nucleotide ribosomal RNA is filed under the name Bacillus sp. (in: firmicutes). RNAcentral's name for it is "bacterial SSU rRNA". It matches the Rfam family "Bacterial small subunit ribosomal RNA", at positions 501 to 1507 of the family's 1533-position model. Lineage: Bacteria; Bacillati; Bacillota; Bacilli; Caryophanales; Bacillaceae. The record is from RNAcentral.
CUACGUGCCAGCAGCCGCGGUAAUACGUAGGUGGCAGCGUUAUCCGGAAUUAUUGGGCGUAAAGCGCGCGCAGGCGGUUUCUUAAGUCUGAUGUGAAAGCCCACGGCUCAACCGUGGAGGGUCAUUGGAAACUGGGGAACUUGAGUGCAGAAGAGAAAAGCGGAAUUCCACGUGUAGCGGUGAAAUGCGUAGAGAUGUGGAGGAACACCAGUGGCGAAGGCGGCUUUUUGGUCUGUAACUGACGCUGAGGCGCGAAAGCGUGGGGAGCAAACAGGAUUAGAUACCCUGGUAGUCCACGCCGUAAACGAUGAGUGCUAAGUGUUAGAGGGUUUCCGCCCUUUAGUGCUGCAGCUAACGCAUUAAGCACUCCGCCUGGGGAGUACGGUCGCAAGACUGAAACUCAAAGGAAUUGACGGGGGCCCGCACAAGCGGUGGAGCAUGUGGUUUAAUUCGAAGCAACGCGAAGAACCUUACCAGGUCUUGACAUCCUCUGACAACUCUAGAGAUAGAGCGUUCCCCUUCGGGGGACAGAGUGACAGGUGGUGCAUGGUUGUCGUCAGCUCGUGUUGUGAGAUGAUGGGUUAAGUCCCGCAACGAGCGCAACCCUUGAUCUUAGUUGCCAGCAUUUAGUUGGGCACUCUAAGGUGACUUACGGUGACAACCGGAGGAAGGUGGGGAUGACGUCAAAUCAUCAUGCCCCUUAUGACCUGGGCUACUCACGUGCUACAAUGGAUGGUACAAAGGGAUGCAAGACCGCGAGGUCUAUACCAAUCCCAUAAAACCAUUCUCAGUUCGGAUUGUAGGCUACAACUUGCCUACAUGAAGCUGGAAUCGCUGGUAAUCGCGGAUCACCAUGCCGCGGUGAAUACGUUCCCGGGCCUUGUACCCACCGCCCGUCACACCACGAGAGUUUGUAACACCCGAAGUCGGUGGAGUAACCGGCGGAGCUAGCCGCCCAAGGUGGCACGGAGAUUGCGGGCCGCCAGAGAUGCCCCUACGG